GACGAACGCUGGCGGCGUGCUUAACACAUGCAAGUCGAACGAUGAAGCCUAGCUUGCUAGGUGGAUUAGUGGCGAACGGGUGAGUAAUACGUGAGUAACCUACCUUUAACUCUGGGAUAAGCCCGGGAAACUGGGUCUAAUACCGGAUACGACCAAUCUCCGCAUGGGGUGUUGGUGGAAAGCGUUAUGUAGUGGUUAUAGAUGGGCUCACGGCCUAUCAGCUUGUUGGUGAGGUAACGGCUCACCAAGGCGACGACGGGUAGCCGGCCUGAGAGGGUGACCGGCCACACUGGGACUGAGACACGGCCCAGACUCCUACGGGAGGCAGCAGUGGGGAAUAUUGCACAAUGAGCGCAAGCCUGAUGCAGCGACGCCGCGUGAGGGAUGACGGCCUUCGGGUUGUAAACCUCUGUUAGCAGGGAAGAAGAGAGAUUGACGGUACCUGCAGAGAAAGCGCCGGCUAACUACGUG
This 471-nucleotide ribosomal RNA is filed under the name uncultured bacterium. RNAcentral's name for it is "partial 16S ribosomal RNA". It matches the Rfam family "Bacterial small subunit ribosomal RNA", at positions 28 to 507 of the family's 1533-position model. The record is from RNAcentral.